GGCGUGUCGGAUCCCUGCUCUGGCAGCGACGGCAUCUCCUGCACGCCUUUUCAGUUGUUGGCUCGGGCAAGUGCUCGGCCGAUGUCGGUUAUCCUGUGCUGAAUACCUAUCGCGAGGGCAUUAAGUCGGCUAGAAUGGUCUAUUUCCCGCCUUGUGCUGCCGCUCCCCRUGGGCGGUGGUGCGGGGUGGGCCAAAUCGCGCUCGCCGUGUGUCGCAUCGUGUUCGCCCUUAAUGGGGCGUUMCGGCUGUCGGCCCACGACGUUAUGCUCGAUCUCUCGGGUACGGUGCAUCAUGUGGGUACGGGGCCGUUGGCCUCCGAGCACCACAAACAAGCGUUCUACGCUUUGUGCGGGCGACUGUCGGUUCGGUCUUUGGCUUUGCUCCCGUAGCUUGGUUCAAGUCGGGCCGACGUCGAUGAGG
RNAcentral lists this unclassified non-coding RNA (420 nucleotides) under Salvia mohavensis. RNAcentral's name for it is "partial external transcribed spacer". The record is from RNAcentral. Lineage: Eukaryota; Viridiplantae; Streptophyta; Magnoliopsida; Lamiales; Lamiaceae.